RNAcentral lists this long non-coding RNA (209 nucleotides) under Lathyrus oleraceus (garden pea). RNAcentral's name for it is "Pisum sativum (pea) long non-coding RNA (PSAT_LNC036986)". Lineage: Eukaryota; Viridiplantae; Streptophyta; Magnoliopsida; Fabales; Fabaceae. The record is from RNAcentral.
UCCAAAUACACCACUAAUUAACUAUGUUUAUUUUAUGCUGCAUUAUUAAUUGAUGAGCUUCGUUUUCUCAUUCCAUUUUAUAGUUUCAGAUACUGUUUAUGUCUUUCUACUUUAUAUAUUCAUAAUUCUAACUACACCAAUUUAUUAAUUGGAUUACUAUUUUUUUUCACCUUCAAAUUCCUAAUUCAUUAAUACUCACCCUCUUGUUG